UCAAUCUUAAUUAAAUCCUAGUUAAAAUCCUAUUGAACUUCAAUCAAACUUUAGGCCAAAAAUUAACUAAAUCUUAAAUCCUAAAUAAAUCCUAAAUAAAUCCUAAAUAAAUCAUAAUCCCUAAAUCAAUUCCUAACCAAAUCUUAAAUUGAAAAUCAAAUCCUAAACUCUAAACCAAACCCUAAUCAAAUCUUAAAUCUUAAACCAAAUCCUAACCAAAUCCUAAUCAAAUAUUAAAUCCUAAACCAAAUUCUAAUCAAAUCCUAAUCAAAUUCUAAAUCCUAAAUAAAAUUCUAAUCAAAUCUUGAACCCUAAAUCAAAUCCUAAUCAAAUUCUAAACCUUAAAUCAAGCCAUAAGCAAUCCCAAGUAAUUUCUACAACAAAUAUAAACCUCAAUAAUUAAUAAAUUAACCAUUCAUUUUAAUUCAAAAUUUGAACACUUCUUAAUAAUUAAGUUGACAGCAAGUACAAAAAAAUUGAAAAAAUAUCAGAAUUACCAAAUAGACGAUAAUCUUAAAAAUAUGCUUAGGUAUUGGCUUGCCUCCUUUUCUAACCUUGAUGCCAAUCUCCCAAAGCCAAUAUCUCUUUUUUUCAUUGUUUAAUUGAUUUUAAAAUUUUCAUAUAUAUAAGAAAACAAGUCUACUAUCUUCACAUAUAAACUUCACUCCAAUCCAACUAGUAAAUUGCAA
RNAcentral lists this long non-coding RNA (689 nucleotides) under Physcomitrium patens. Its description in RNAcentral is "long non-coding RNA (PPAT_LNC002299)". The record is from RNAcentral. Lineage: Eukaryota; Viridiplantae; Streptophyta; Bryopsida; Funariales; Funariaceae.